GCGGGAUGUGAGCCACCAGCAAGGAGGAAUGCCAAUAAGGCAUCCGCUAAGCUCCUUUUCACACUUCCACAUCUUAGAGAGUGAAAAGAAGUGACGGUUGGUUCAGAGCCAUUCAAGAGGAUCCGAUGCACAGUGCCCAUCCUGUCACUGAGAAGCAUGCAGAACUGACCAAAUUUUCCCUUCAG
This 185-nucleotide long non-coding RNA is filed under the name Cricetulus griseus (Chinese hamster). RNAcentral describes it as "lncRNA (ENSCGRG00000025343.1)". Lineage: Eukaryota; Metazoa; Chordata; Mammalia; Rodentia; Cricetidae. The record is from RNAcentral.